Molecule: ribosomal RNA, 467 nt
Filed under: uncultured bacterium
Lineage: Bacteria
Description: partial 16S ribosomal RNA
Rfam family: Bacterial small subunit ribosomal RNA
Source: RNAcentral
GACGAACGCUGGCGGCGUGCUUAACACAUGCAAGUCGAACGGAAAGGCCCUGCUUUUGUGGGGUGCUCGAGUGGCGAACGGGUGAGUAACACGUGAGUAACCUGCCCUUGACUUUGGGAUAACUUCAGGAAACUGGGGCUAAUACCGGAUAGGAGCUCCUGCUGCAUGGUGGGGGUUGGAAAGUUUCGGCGGUUGGGGAUGGACUCGCGGCUUAUCAGCUUGUUGGUGGGGUAGUGGCUUACCAAGGCUUUGACGGGUAGCCGGCCUGAGAGGGUGACCGGCCACAUUGGGACUGAGAUACGGCCCAGACUCCUACGGGAGGGAGCAGUGGGGAAUAUUGCACAAUGGGCGGAAGCCUGAUGCAGCAACGCCGCGUGCGGGAUGACGGCCUUCGGGUGGGAAACCGCUUUCGCCUGUGACGAAGCGUGAGUGACGGUAAUGGGUAAAGAAGCACCGGCUAACUACGU